RNAcentral lists this ribosomal RNA (2927 nucleotides) under Escherichia coli. Its description in RNAcentral is "23S ribosomal RNA". It matches the Rfam family "Bacterial large subunit ribosomal RNA". Lineage: Bacteria; Pseudomonadati; Pseudomonadota; Gammaproteobacteria; Enterobacterales; Enterobacteriaceae. The record is from RNAcentral.
GGGUUGUGAGGUUAAGCGACUAAGCGUACACGGUGGAUGCCCGGCAGUCAGAGGCGAUGAAGGACGUGCUAAUCUGCGAUAAGCGUCGGUAAGGUGAUAUGAACCGUUAUAACCGGCGAUUUCCGAAUGGGGAAACCCAGUGUGAUUCGUCACACUAUCAUUAACUGAAUCCAUAGGUUAAUGAGGCGAACCGGGGGAACUGAAACAUCUAAGUACCCCGAGGAAAAGAAAUCAACCGAGAUUCCCCCAGUAGCGGCGAGCGAACGGGGAGCAGCCCAGAGCCUGAAUCAGUGUGUGUGUUAGUGGAAGCGUCUGGAAAGGCGCGCGAUACAGGGUGACAGCCCCGUACACAAAAAUGCACAUACUGUGAGCUCGAUGAGUAGGGCGGGACACGUGGUAUCCUGUCUGAAUAUGGGGGACCAUCCUCCAAGGCUAAAUACUCCUGACUGACCGAUAGUGAACCAGUACCGUGAGGGAAAGGCGAAAAGAACCCCGGCGAGGGGAGUGAAAAAGAACCUGAAACCGUGUACGUACAAGCAGUGGGAGCCUCUUUAUGGGGUGACUGCGUACCUUUGUAUAAUGGGUCAGCGACUUAUAUUCUGUAGCAAGGUUAACCGAAUAGGGGAGCCGAAGGGAAACCGAGUCUUAACUGGGCGUUAAGUUGCAGGGUAUAGACCCGAAACCCGGUGAUCUAGCCAUGGGCAGGUUGAAGGUUGGGUAACACUAACUGGAGGACCGAACCGACUAAUGUUGAAAAAUUAGCGGAUGACUUGUGGCUGGGGGUGAAAGGCCAAUCAAACCGGGAGAUAGCUGGUUCUCCCCGAAAGCUAUUUAGGUAGCGCCUCGUGAAUUCAUCUCCGGGGUAGAGCACUGUUUCGGCAAGGGGUCAUCCCGACUUACCAACCCGAUGCAAACUGCGAAUACCGGAGAAUGUUAUCACGGGAGACACACGGCGGGUGCUAACGUCCGUCGUGAAGAGGGAAACAACCCAGACCGCCAGCUAAGGUCCCAAAGUCAUGGUUAAGUGGGAAACGAUGUGGGAAGGCCCAGACAGCCAGGAUGUUGGCUUAGAAGCAGCCAUCAUUUAAAGAAAGCGUAAUAGCUCACUGGUCGAGUCGGCCUGCGCGGAAGAUGUAACGGGGCUAAACCAUGCACCGAAGCUGCGGCAGCGACGCUUAUGCGUUGUUGGGUAGGGGAGCGUUCUGUAAGCCUGCGAAGGUGUGCUGUGAGGCAUGCUGGAGGUAUCAGAAGUGCGAAUGCUGACAUAAGUAACGAUAAAGCGGGUGAAAAGCCCGCUCGCCGGAAGACCAAGGGUUCCUGUCCAACGUUAAUCGGGGCAGGGUGAGUCGACCCCUAAGGCGAGGCCGAAAGGCGUAGUCGAUGGGAAACAGGUUAAUAUUCCUGUACUUGGUGUUACUGCGAAGGGGGGACGGAGAAGGCUAUGUUGGCCGGGCGACGGUUGUCCCGGUUUAAGCGUGUAGGCUGGUUUUCCAGGCAAAUCCGGAAAAUCAAGGCUGAGGCGUGAUGACGAGGCACUACGGUGCUGAAGCAACAAAUGCCCUGCUUCCAGGAAAAGCCUCUAAGCAUCAGGUAACAUCAAAUCGUACCCCAAACCGACACAGGUGGUCAGGUAGAGAAUACCAAGGCGCUUGAGAGAACUCGGGUGAAGGAACUAGGCAAAAUGGUGCCGUAACUUCGGGAGAAGGCACGCUGAUAUGUAGGUGAAGCGACUUGCUCGUGGAGCUGAAAUCAGUCGAAGAUACCAGCUGGCUGCAACUGUUUAUUAAAAACACAGCACUGUGCAAACACGAAAGUGGACGUAUACGGUGUGACGCCUGCCCGGUGCCGGAAGGUUAAUUGAUGGGGUUAGCGGUAACGCGAAGCUCUUGAUCGAAGCCCCGGUAAACGGCGGCCGUAACUAUAACGGUCCUAAGGUAGCGAAAUUCCUUGUCGGGUAAGUUCCGACCUGCACGAAUGGCGUAAUGAUGGCCAGGCUGUCUCCACCCGAGACUCAGUGAAAUUGAACUCGCUGUGAAGAUGCAGUGUACCCGCGGCAAGACGGAAAGACCCCGUGAACCUUUACUAUAGCUUGACACUGAACAUUGAGCCUUGAUGUGUAGGAUAGGUGGGAGGCUUUGAAGUGUGGACGCCAGUCUGCAUGGAGCCGACCUUGAAAUACCACCCUUUAAUGUUUGAUGUUCUAACGUUGGCCCCUAAUCGGGGUUGCGGACAGUGUCUGGUGGGUAGUUUGACUGGGGCGGUCUCCUCCUAAAGAGUAACGGAGGAGCACGAAGGUUGGCUAAUCCACGGUCGGACAUCAGGAGGUUAGUGCAAUGGCAUAAGCCAGCUUGACUGCGAGCGUGACGGCGCGAGCAGGUGCGAAAGCAGGUCAUAGUGAUCCGGUGGUUCUGAAUGGAAGGGCCAUCGCUCAACGGAUAAAAGGUACUCCGGGGAUAACAGGCUGAUACCGCCCAAGAGUUCAUAUCGACGGCGGUGUUUGGCACCUCGAUGUCGGCUCAUCACAUCCUGGGGCUGAAGUAGGUCCCAAGGGUAUGGCUGUUCGCCAUUUAAAGUGGUACGCGAGCUGGGUUUAGAACGUCGUGAGACAGUUCGGUCCCUAUCUGCCGUGGGCGCUGGAGAACUGAGGGGGGCUGCUCCUAGUACGAGAGGACCGGAGUGGACGCAUCACUGGUGUUCGGGUUGUCAUGCCAAUGGCACUGCCCGGUAGCUAAAUGCGGAAGAGAUAAGUGCUGAAAGCAUCUAAGCACGAAACUUGCCCCGAGAUGAGUUCUCCCUGACUCCCUGAGAGUCCUGAAGGAACGUUGAAGACGACGACGUUGAUAGGCCGGGUGUGUAAGCGCAGCGAUGCGUUGAGCUAACCGGUACUAAUGAACCGUGAGGCUUAACCUUACAACGCCGAAGCUGUU